CAGCCGCCGCGGUAAUACGUAGGGUGCGAGCGUUAAUCGGAAUUACUGGGCGUAAAGCGUGCGCAGGCGGUUAUAUAAGACAGAUGUGAAAUCCCCGGGCUCAACCUGGGACCUGCAUUUGUGACUGUAUAGCUAGAGUACGGUAGAGGGGGAUGGAAUUCCGCGUGUAGCAGUGAAAUGCGUAGAUAUGCGGAGGAAUACCGAUGGCGAAGGCAGCCCCCUGGGCCAAUACUGACGCUCAUGCACGAAAGCGUGGGGAGCAAACAGGAUUAGAUACCCCCGUAGUCCCUGUCUCUUAUAC
This 301-nucleotide ribosomal RNA is filed under the name uncultured bacterium. RNAcentral's name for it is "partial 16S ribosomal RNA". It matches the Rfam family "Bacterial small subunit ribosomal RNA", at positions 509 to 807 of the family's 1533-position model. The record is from RNAcentral.